GACGAACGCUGGCGGCGUGCUUAACACAUGCAAGUCGAACGGAAAGGCCCUGCUUUUGUGGGGUGCUCGAGUGGCGCACGGGUGAGUAUCACGUGAGUAACCUCCCCUUUACUUUGGGAUACCUUCAGUAAACUGGGGCUCUUACCGCAUAUGAGCUCUUUCUGCAUGGUGGUGGUUGUAAAGUUUCGCCGUUUGGGGAUGGACUAGCGGCUUAUCAGCUUGUUGGUGGGGUAGUGGAUUACCAAGGCUUCGACGGGUAGCCGGCCUGAGAGGGUGACCGGCCACAAAGGGAAUGAGAAACGGCCAAGACGGAUACGGGAGGAAGGAGUGGGAAAUAGUGCAAAAAAGGCGGAAGCCGGAAGGAGCAACGCCGCGUGCGGGAUGACGGCCUUCGGGGUGGAAACUGCUUUCGCGUGGGAAGAAGAGUGAGUGACGGUAAUGGGUAAAGAAGCAACGGCUAACUACGUG
Molecule: ribosomal RNA, 468 nt
Filed under: uncultured bacterium
Lineage: Bacteria
Description: partial 16S ribosomal RNA
Rfam family: Bacterial small subunit ribosomal RNA
Source: RNAcentral